This 496-nucleotide ribosomal RNA is filed under the name uncultured bacterium. Its description in RNAcentral is "partial 16S ribosomal RNA". It matches the Rfam family "Bacterial small subunit ribosomal RNA", at positions 28 to 507 of the family's 1533-position model. The record is from RNAcentral.
GAUGAACGCUGGCGGCGUGCCUAAUACAUGCAAGUCGAGCGAACAGAUGAGGAGCUUGCUCCUCUGACGUUAGCGGCGGACGGGUGAGUAACACGUGGAUAACCUACCAUAAGACUGGGAUAACUUCGGGAAACCGGAGCUAAUACCGGAUAAUAUAUUUAACCGCCUUGUUUAAUAGUUAAAGUCGGUUUUGCUGGCACUUAUAGCUGGAUCCCCGCCGCAUUAGCUAGUUGGUAAGGUAACGGCUUACCAAGGCAACGAUGCGUAGCCGACCUGAGAGGGUGAUCGGCCACACUGGAACUGAGACACGGUCCAGACUCCUACGGGAGGCAGCAGUAGGGAAUCUUCCGCAAUGGGCGAAAGCCUGACGGAGCAACGCCGCGUGAGUGAUGAAGGUCUUCGGAUCGUAAAACUCUGUUAGUAGGGAAGAACAAAUGUGUAAGUAACUAUGCACGUCUUGACGGUACCUAAUCAGAAAGCCACGGCUAACUACGUG